UUUUGUUGCAGUUACCUGAGAAACUAGUGCUACUUAAGAAACUYUGAGUAACGAAAAAAAAAGCAUUAGUGAGCGACACUACUGGUUUUUGAGAUCUUUCUGUUCUUCAGACACUAGUCUAUGAAUAUUGAAAGAAGAAAGAACCAUUAUAAGGGUUGGCGGAAAUUAAAAAUCCCACUGGCCCAGCCUUGAUAAGAGCAGGAAACARGAGAAAAGUGU
Long non-coding RNA from Nothoprocta perdicaria, 219 nucleotides. RefSeq lists it as uncharacterized. The record is from RefSeq and is a predicted model, not a curated record. Lineage: Eukaryota; Metazoa; Chordata; Aves; Tinamiformes; Tinamidae. The transcript is spliced from 3 exons.